GACGAACGCUGGCGGCGUGCUUAACACAUGCAAGUCGAACGGAAAGGCCCUGCUUUUGUGGGGUGCUCGAGUGGCGAACGGGUGAGUAACACGUGAGUAACCUGCCCUUGACUUUGGGAUAACUUCAGGAAACUGGGGCUAAUACCGGAUAGGAGCUCCUGCUGCAUGGUGGGGGUUGGAAAGUUUCGGCGGUUGGGGAUGGACUCGCGGCUUAUCAGCUUGUUGGUGGGGUAGUGGCUUACCAAGGCUUUGACGGGUAGCCGGCCUGAGAGGGUGACCGGCCACAUUGGGACUGAGAGACGGCCCAGACUCCUACGGGAGGCAGCAGUGGGGAAUAUUGCACAAUGGGCGGAAGCCUGAUGCAGCAACGACGCGUGCGGGAUGACGGCCUUCGGGUUGUAAACCGCUUUCGCCUGUGACGAAGCGUGAGUGACGGUAAUGGGUAAAGAAGCACCGGCUAACUACGUG
This 468-nucleotide ribosomal RNA is filed under the name uncultured bacterium. Its description in RNAcentral is "partial 16S ribosomal RNA". It matches the Rfam family "Bacterial small subunit ribosomal RNA", at positions 28 to 507 of the family's 1533-position model. The record is from RNAcentral.